This 1551-nucleotide long non-coding RNA is filed under the name Malus domestica (apple). RNAcentral describes it as "long non-coding RNA (MDOM_LNC002199)". Lineage: Eukaryota; Viridiplantae; Streptophyta; Magnoliopsida; Rosales; Rosaceae. The record is from RNAcentral.
UGUCUAUGAUAACCUCUGGGAAGACUAUGAAGACCCUGACAACAGAAUAUCUACGCAUCAAAAUCCAAAAAGCCCCAUAAGCGAAGCAUUUUCAAAAUUUCAGACUAUAUGAGCACAAGCAUUGCAGGUGAUCCGGAACGAUGUGUCAAAACCUGUUAGCGACGUCUACAUUAAACUCCUGAAAACAAUGGUCGUAUUGUAGGGUCCUCACGGAACAACCUUGAUAUAACAAACAAGUAAGGCAGACUGUGCUGCCCUUCAAUAGAAUACCAAGUAUCCUUACAUACAUGCAUCUAUCUUAGAUUAGUUUAUGUAGAAAGUAUAUUCAUUUUGGACAAAGUACCUGUCGAUUGAUCUAUCAAUAAAGUUAGCAGCAUGUGCUGCCCUUCAAGAACAAAUUCCCUGGUUGAUCCUGCUGAAAUGGCCAGAAUAAGUUACUUUCAAAAUACGAGGACCUGUAAAUAAUCUUGAAUGUAACAUAGAUCUAUCAAUUAAAAGGCAAAAGAAUACCUAAGUUACAAGACUAAUCAAUUAACAAUAUACCACAGGCAAUAUGAUUCUCUUAAACAUAAAGUUGGGAUGAGAGAUUUGAAAGUGUCAAGGGCUUAGGGCUAAAUUAGUUGGAGGGAUAUGAAAGACUAGAUGCAAUGCAUUAAGAGGGAUUUGUAAUGACUGCUUGAAAGGAGACAUUUAUAAAUACUUUGUUUAUGUGUGUAAUGAUCAUGUAGUGCAUUUUAAAUGUCUAUAUCCUUCAUCCAAACAUAGGGUGAGAGAACUAGGAGUUUUAGCAUACACAACUCACUGACAUAGGACAAUACAAAUUAAGGCAAAACAAACAGAUGUCAAAAUCCAAAAUGCCUUACUUCUUUGAGUCAUUAUGUGUGCAUUAUGCCCUUAUCAGACCCCUUGCUUUUUUGUUUAUGAAAACUCUGGGAAGACUAUGAAGAUCGUGAGGAAAGAAUAUCUCCGCAUAGAAAUCCAAAAAGCCCCAUAAGCGAAGCAUUUCCAAAUUUCUGAGUAUACGAGCACAAGCAUUGCAGGUGAUCCUGAACCAUGUGGCAAAACCUGUUUGCGAUGUCUACAUUAAACUCCUCAAAACAACGCCCGUAUUGUAGGAUUCUCACAGAACAACUUGAAAUAACCAAGAAGUAUGGCAGACUUCCAUAACGAGUGGAGAUAUAGAGCUCAUGGUUCAGAUUGAUGCCUUGCAUUGGUCCUUCGGAAACCCUGAAAUAAAAUUAGAAAAGGAAUCUUGUGACUUAUUGCUCUUUUCUUAAUUUAUUCAUAUUUGUCCAGCCAAUCAAAGUGGUAACAAGUUAGAAACCUUGAUUCUAAGUUCCAAAUGUAGAAUAUCAAAGUACCUUGAUUCUAAGCGAAGCAUUUUCAAAAUUUCAGACUAUAUGAGCACAAGCAUUGCAGGUAAUCCGGAACGAUGUGUCAAAACCUGUUAGCGACGUCUACAUUAAACUCCUGAAAACAAUGGUCGUAUUGUAGGGUCCUCACAGAACAACCUUGAUAUAACAAACAAGUAAGACAGAUUGUGCUGCCCUU